Molecule: ribosomal RNA, 490 nt
Filed under: uncultured bacterium
Lineage: Bacteria
Description: partial 16S ribosomal RNA
Rfam family: Bacterial small subunit ribosomal RNA
Source: RNAcentral
GAUGAACGCUAGCUACAGGCUUAACACAUGCAAGUCGCGGGGCAGCAUGGGGGUUGCUUGCAAUCCCCGAUGGCGACCGGCGCACGGGUGAGUAACGCGUAUCCAACCUGCCCUUCACCACGGGAUAACCCGGCGAAAGUCGGACUAAUACCGUAUGUUGUCCAUUGACGGCAUCCGAUUUGGACGAAAGGUUUGGCGGUGAAGGAUGGGGAUGCGUCCGAUUAGCUGGACGGCGGGGUGACGGCCCACCGUGGCGACGAUCGGUAGGGGUUCUGAGAGGAAGGUCCCCCACACUGGAACUGAGACACGGCCCAGACUCCUACGGGAGGCAGCAGUGAGGAAUAGUGGGCAAGGGGCGUAAGCCUGAACCAGCCAAGUAGCGUGCAGGAUGACGGCCCUAUGGGUUGUAAACUGCUUUUAUGCGGGGAUAAAGUGGCCCACGUGUGGGUUUUUGCAGGUACCGCAUGAAUAAGGACCGGCUAAUUCCGUG